GGAUAGCUCAGUUGGUUAAGAGUGUGGUGCUGAUAACACCAAGAUUGCAGGUUUGAUCCCCGUAAGGGACAGCUCCA
This 77-nucleotide transfer RNA is filed under the name Podarcis lilfordi (Lilford's wall lizard). Its description in RNAcentral is "tRNA.Ile". The stretch from base 4 to 63 matches the Rfam family "tRNA", at positions 8 to 63 of the family's 71-position model. From Rfam's summary of the family: Transfer RNA (tRNA) molecules are approximately 80 nucleotides in length. Their secondary structure includes four short double-helical elements and three loops (D, anti-codon, and T loops). Lineage: Eukaryota; Metazoa; Chordata; Lepidosauria; Squamata; Lacertidae. The record is from RNAcentral.